This 25-nucleotide non-coding RNA is filed under the name Rattus norvegicus (Norway rat). Lineage: Eukaryota; Metazoa; Chordata; Mammalia; Rodentia; Muridae. The record is from RNAcentral.
UGCCCAGAUGAUGCAGACAGCCCCA